UACGAAGGGGGCUAGCGUUGCUCGGAAUGACUGGGCGUAAAGGGCGCGUAGGCGGUUUGUACAGUCAGGUGUGAAAUUCCCGGGCUCAACCUGGGGGCUGCACUUGAUACGUAUGGACUGGAGUGGGGAAGAGGGUCGUGGAAUUCCCAGUGUAGAGGUGAAAUUCGUAGAUAUCGGGAGGAACACCAGUGGCGAAGGCGGUUGCCUGGAGCUUUGCUGACGCUGAUGCGCGAAAGCGUGGGGAGCGAUCCGG
Molecule: ribosomal RNA, 253 nt
Filed under: uncultured bacterium
Lineage: Bacteria
Description: partial 16S ribosomal RNA
Rfam family: Bacterial small subunit ribosomal RNA
Source: RNAcentral